CAUUAUCGAGGGGGCUUUGCCUCCGUCAAGAUAACACCCCUUGCCUUUGAGUACCGUCUGUUUCCUCGGUAGGCUCGCCUGCCAAUGGGGACCACAACCAAACCUUUUUGUAAUGCAGUAAACGUCUGAUAAACAAAAAAUCAAAACUUUCAACAACGGAUCUCUUGGUUCUGGCAUCGAUGAAGAACGCAGCGAAAUGCGAUAAGUAGUGUGAAUUGCAGAAUUCAGUGAAUCAUCGAAUCUUUGAACGCACAUUGCGCCCUUUGGUAUUCCUUAGGGCAUGCCUGUUCGAGCGUCAUCUAACCCUUCAAGCACUGCUUGGUGUUGGGCGUUUGUCCCGCCUCGGGCGCGGACUCGCCUCAAAGACAUUGGCGGCCUGUGUAUUGGCUUCGAGCGCAGCAGACUCGCGCGUCGACUCCUCUUGCACUAGGUGUCCAGCAAGCCUACAAACCCCAAGUUUGACCUCGGAUCAGGUAGGGAUACCCGCUGAACUUAAGCAUAUCAAUAAGCGGAGGAAAAGAAACCAACAGGGAUUGCCCUAGUAACGGCGAGUGAAGCGGCAAGAGCUCAAAUUUGAAAUCUGGCUCCUUUGGAGUCCGAGUUGUAAUUUGUAGAGGGUGCUUUGGUGUUGUCUAUGGCCUAAGUUCCUUGGAACAGGACGUCUUAGAGGGUGAGAACCCCGUACGUGGCCGCUAGCCUUCACCGUGUAAAGCCCCUUCGACGAGUCGAGUUGUUUGGGAAUGCAGCUCUAAAUGGGAGGUAAAUUUCUUCUAAAGCUAAAUAUUGGCCAGAGACCGAUAGCGCACAAGUAGAGUGAUCGAAAGAUGAAAAGCACUUUGGAAAGAGAGUCAAAAAGCACGUGAAAUUGUUGAAAGGGAAGCGCUUGCAGCCAGACUUGCCCGUAGUCGCUCAUCCGAGCUCUUGCUCGGUGCACUCUUCUGCGGGCAGGCCAGCAUCAGUCCGGGCGGUCGGAUAAAGGCCCUAGGAAUGUAGCUCUCUUCGGGGAGUGUUAUAGCCUAGGGUGUCAUGCGACCAGCCUGGAC
This 1043-nucleotide small RNA is filed under the name Hermatomyces verrucosus. RNAcentral describes it as "eukaryotic LSU rRNA". The stretch from base 460 to 1043 matches the Rfam family "Eukaryotic large subunit ribosomal RNA", at positions 1 to 589 of the family's 3401-position model. Lineage: Eukaryota; Fungi; Ascomycota; Dothideomycetes; Pleosporales; Hermatomycetaceae. The record is from RNAcentral.